AAGGAGCACCACGAAAAGCACCCCAACUGGUGGGGUGCGAGCCGUGAGGGGUUCCCGUCUGUAGUGGACGGGGGCCGGGUGCGCAACAGCAAAUGAUUGCCAGACACACUAUUGGGCCCUGAGACAACACUCGGUCCGUCCGUGUGGAGUCCCUCCAUCUUGGUGGUGGGGUGUGGUGUUUGAGUAUUGGAUAGUGGUUGCGAGCAUCUAGAUGAGCGCAUGGUCUUUAUGGCCGGCGUUCAUCGAAAUGUGUAAUUUCUUUUUUUAACUCUUGUGUGU
RNAcentral lists this unclassified non-coding RNA (279 nucleotides) under Mycobacterium avium. Lineage: Bacteria; Bacillati; Actinomycetota; Actinomycetes; Mycobacteriales; Mycobacteriaceae. The record is from RNAcentral.